CUCCUUUGGUCACCUCCCGAAGUCCAAGAUGAGUUUCAAGAGCCACAUGUCUAUGAGACCCUCCUACCUGGACUUAGCUGACUGCAGCAGGAGGGACAUGUGAUCCAAGCUGGAGCACACAGAAUCUCUCUCCUGGGAUGUGGAGCUGAGAGACACUGAGAUCAGGAGAUGGGAGCUGAUUCCUAUUAAUGACAGGUCUGGAGCGAAGGAACUGCUGGAGAUAAAAGCAAAUGUCUUAGAAGAGCAAGUGUGAUAUG
Molecule: long non-coding RNA, 257 nt
Filed under: Homo sapiens (human)
Lineage: Eukaryota; Metazoa; Chordata; Mammalia; Primates; Hominidae
Description: HSALNT0293807
Source: RNAcentral